CUAAGUUUGUCAGAUACUUCAGGGUUUGUUCUAGAAGUUGCACUGUUAAUUUCAGCCUGCCUUUAUAACAACCAUUGACUGAAUGGGAGAGGGAAAACAAUCUCUUUAAGAAGGUUUGACAAGCAAUUUCAGGUAGAGGUGGGAGUUACGUGGACACCGAGGGCAGGAAAGGUUCCUGCUUACAUCUUCCUCCACGGAACCAACUAAGUAAUUGGGAUGGAAGGACAGGAUGAAUCCUAAGGAGUAAGUGAUUAUUGUUUUUUUUUUUUUUUACUUUUCAUAAG
Molecule: long non-coding RNA, 284 nt
Filed under: Fukomys damarensis (Damara mole-rat)
Lineage: Eukaryota; Metazoa; Chordata; Mammalia; Rodentia; Bathyergidae
Description: lncRNA (ENSFDAG00000024501.1)
Source: RNAcentral